AGUGAAUAGAUACCCUGGUAGUCCUAGCCGUAAACGAUACUCGCUAGGUGUCGGCCACGGUGCGACCGUUGUCGGUGCCGUAGGGAAAGCCGUGAAGCGAGCCACCUGGGAAGUACGGCCGCAAGGCUGAAACUUAAAGGAAUUGGCGGGGGAGCACCACAACGGGUGGAGCUUGCGGUUUAAAUUGGAUUCAACGCCGGAAAUCUUACCGGGACCGACAGCAAUAUGAAGGCCAGGCUGAAGACUUUGCCGGAUUAGCUGAGAGGUGGUGCAUGGCCGUCGUCAGUUCGUACUGUGAAGCAUCCUGUUAAGUCAGGCAACGAGCGAGACCAACGCCCACAGUUGCCAGCGUACUCUCCGGAGUGACGGGUACACUGUGGGGUACCGCGCUGCUAAAGCGGAGAGGAAUGGCAACGGUAGGUCAGUAUGCCCCGGAAUA
This 439-nucleotide ribosomal RNA is filed under the name uncultured bacterium. RNAcentral describes it as "bacterial SSU rRNA". It matches the Rfam family "Archaeal small subunit ribosomal RNA", at positions 725 to 1163 of the family's 1478-position model. The record is from RNAcentral.